AUACGGAGGGUGCGAGCGUUAAUCGGAAUUACUGGGCGUAAAGCGUACGUAGGCGGUUGGUUAAGUUAGAUGUGAAAGCCCCGGGCUUAACCUGGGAACUGCAUUUAAAACUGGCGAACUAGAGUUGAGUAGAGGGGAGUGGAAUUUCAGGUGUAGCGGUGAAAUGCGUAGAGAUCUGAAGGAACACCAGUGGCGAAGGCGUCUCCCUGGACUCGAACUGACGCUGAGGUACGAAAGCGUGGGUAGCAAACGGGAUUAGAAACCCCUGUAGUCC
Molecule: ribosomal RNA, 274 nt
Filed under: uncultured bacterium
Lineage: Bacteria
Description: partial 16S ribosomal RNA
Rfam family: Bacterial small subunit ribosomal RNA
Source: RNAcentral